GGGGCUGCUGUGAUGACAGCAUAGUUCAGCAGAUGAGCCGUGAUGAUCACACUGUCACUGUCUUUCGCUCCUGUCUGAUGCAGCCUC
This is a non-coding RNA of Manacus vitellinus (golden-collared manakin), 87 nucleotides long. Lineage: Eukaryota; Metazoa; Chordata; Aves; Passeriformes; Pipridae. The record is from Rfam.